AAGAAAGAUACAUAAAUAUAGAGCAAAAAACUAUGAUUUUGAAAGCCCAACAUAAUACAAAUCAUUAAUAUCAGGAAUGAAGACAUGAGCUGAUAUACAUAAAAGACAUGCCUGUUACAUGUCACAUAGCAGAUACAUAAAUGGUGCAUAGAGAAUGCACAAGUUUUACACAGAAGAUGUGCACAAGAAGUUAGGUUCUACCCUCCAUUCCUAAUUCAUCUCACAGAAUCAUGACAACAAUAGAGUCAUCUCUAGUGGUAAAAAGGACAUGAACCCCCUUAAAAAAGUUGAAAAUUUUAAAAAUCUUCCAACUCCAACUCCUCCAGGAGCCGCGGCUGCUGAUAUCAUUAACUUGCCCGCUUGACUCUAAGUGAAUUACUCUGGCAUGAAAGCUGAUUUUGUUGCCUGAGUGGAAAUGAGAAAAUGCAAAAUCAUCAAUGACAACUCUUAAUAACAAAAUGCUAAAAUGCAAUGUCUCCUAACACCCUCACUAAAUUACCUCUUCAAAGUCAUUACAAGUAUUCUUCUCUUCCAAGUGCUGGGUUCCCUUUUGUGUCUCCAAAUAGAUUAUGGGGGAAAAAAAUCUGCCAGCAUUGCUGUCACUGUUAAUUAGUGUCUCCUGAGCAGGGCUUCCUGCCUGAGGUGCUCACCAGACCUUGCCAAGCCCUACAGGGACUUCCAGAAAAACCUUGUUUAUG
RNAcentral lists this long non-coding RNA (698 nucleotides) under Homo sapiens (human). Its description in RNAcentral is "non-protein coding lnc-DIRAS2-5:1". Lineage: Eukaryota; Metazoa; Chordata; Mammalia; Primates; Hominidae. The record is from RNAcentral.